Non-coding RNA from Nippostrongylus brasiliensis, 72 nucleotides. The record is from Rfam. NCBI's taxonomy places the organism in Eukaryota, Metazoa, Nematoda, Chromadorea, Rhabditida, Heligmosomidae.
GUCUCAAUAACAUAGUGGUUAGUGCACAGCCCCGGACAGGUUGAGACACGGGUUCGAAUCCCGCCUGAGAUG